RNAcentral lists this ribosomal RNA (532 nucleotides) under Cercopithecus ascanius katangae. Its description in RNAcentral is "partial 16S ribosomal RNA". It matches the Rfam family "Bacterial large subunit ribosomal RNA", at positions 1831 to 2586 of the family's 2925-position model. The record is from RNAcentral. Lineage: Eukaryota; Metazoa; Chordata; Mammalia; Primates; Cercopithecidae.
UAGCAUUACUAGNNUUAGAGGCACUGCCUGCCCAGUGACACACGUUUAACGGCCGCGGUACCCUGACCGUGCAAAGGUAGCAUAAUCACUUGUUCUUUAAAUAGGGACUCGUAUGAAUGGCACCACGAGGGUUUAACUGUCUCUUACUUUCAACCAGUGAAAUUGACCUGUCCGUGAAGAGACGGACAUGAAGCAAUAAGACGAGAAGACCCUGUGGAGCUUCAAUUUAUUAGUACAACUAAAAACCGUACAAACCAACAGGCCCUAAACCCUCACACCUGUACUAAAAAUUUUGGUUGGGGCGACCUCGGAGCACAACCAAACCUCCGAAUAAUCCACGCUAAGACUACACAAGUCAAAGCAAACUGACACUUACAACUGACCCAAUAAUUUGAUCAACGGAACAAGUUACCCCAGGGAUAACAGCGCAAUUCUAUUCUAGAGUCCAUAUCAACAAUAGAGUUUACGACCUCGAUGUUGGAUCAGGACAUCCUAAUGGUGCAGCAGCUAUCAAGGGUUCGUUUGUUCAACG